CAGGUUUAUAGCUACGGUGACCAAAAAUAGAAGAAUGCUGGCUUAGGUGGAAAACCUGCCUACUUUGAGAAGCUGGAGCAGCUCGUGAGCACUGCUUCAACCAGCUGACCCUAUGUUCCACUCAUUGCUUUGAUUCGGUUUUCCCUCUGUCACUCAGGCUGGAUACAGUGGCAUGAUCACAGCUUACUACAGUGUCAACCUCCUGGGCUCAGAGAUGGGGUCUUGGUCUGUCUUGUCAAGGAGAAGGUGUCCCUGAGAACGCAAACAUUCCAGAGAGUAUCUGAGAACCUACCUGGGAAAAAAGUCUCAUCUCACACACACACACACAACCAUCUACAAUACUGUUUGAACAUCUGAAGACAUGGGGAACUCAUGUCUGAUAUCUGAUAACAGACUUCCUACAAGGCAGGACUGGUAGUUUCCUGAUAAAUUUUUCAGUAUGAAGAUAUGGAUUUGGCUGCCAGUAAUGAAUUGCACCAAAGUCACCAUUUCAAACCAUGCCCUAGCUAUGUCUUGGUCAUCUGAGAAGGGACAGGAGGGGCUGAGGAGGGACCACGCCUGUGUGCUGCAGACUCUGUCCCUGGCUGCAAGGAAGAUCCAGAGCAGGCAGCUACUGGCCUCACCAGUGACCCUACCUUUGCUCAUUAAAGGGAUCUAAACUCAGCUUCUCACCUGUGGAUAGAAAAAGUACCAGACAAAGAGGGACAGAAGGUGUCUCUGGCCAAAUGAGGCACCUCCAGAAGAUAAAGGCCAGGCCCUGUGUGCCCCUGAAGCAGGAAAAGGCUGGGGCUUUCACUGAGGAGAUCAAUGGGACAGCAUCUCAAAGGCAGUGGACAAGUAACUGACCCUACUGGUCUCCAGGAGGGUCCCCGCCAAUCCCACUCUGCCCAGUUCAAAUGACAUGAUUCAGCAGCAUGAGCAAUGCGAAAAAAAGUGGACCAUAUGAAUUAAUUUUUAUUUAAAACAAAACCACAAAGAUGAUAAAGAACAUUUUAUAAAUCUUAUGCAACUACAUGUAAUUUAAAUUUUAUUUUUACCUAUUAAUAUAGAAGUAUCACUUUUUUAAUGAGAACGAAGGAAGCUUUUAAUAAAGUCUGUGAUAAUUUUAACACAAAAUAUAUGAAAAAGCAUAGCUGAGGUCAUCUAUUUCUAUUAGACAAAUAAAAACUUUCCCUCUAAAAAUGGUUCAGCCUAAGGUUAAACAAUUAAGAAUAAUUAUUAGACUUAGUAAUUGCCAGAGCAACCCAAAAUUACUUCUGAAUUUAUACUUGUAGGGCAUAUUAAAAAAAAAAAACAAGAACAACAACAAAACCAACCAAAACCUCGAAAUGCCCCUGUGUUCCCCAACCCUUUCUCACCAACUGGCUGGAGAAACCUCUCCUUACCUUCAGA
Non-coding RNA from Callithrix jacchus (white-tufted-ear marmoset), 1392 nucleotides. Lineage: Eukaryota; Metazoa; Chordata; Mammalia; Primates; Cebidae. The record is from RefSeq and is a predicted model, not a curated record.